This 396-nucleotide ribosomal RNA is filed under the name uncultured bacterium. RNAcentral's name for it is "bacterial SSU rRNA". It matches the Rfam family "Bacterial small subunit ribosomal RNA", at positions 971 to 1375 of the family's 1533-position model. The record is from RNAcentral.
CUACCCUUGACAUGGUCGGAAUCCUGCUGAGAGGUGGGAGUGCUCGAAAGAGAACCGGCGCACAGGUGCUGCAUGGCUGUCGUCAGCUCGUGUCGUGAGAUGUUGGGUUAAGUCCCGCAACGAGCGCAACCCUUGUCCUUAGUUGCUACGCAAGAGCACUCUAGGGAGACUGCCGGUGACAAACCGGAGGAAGGUGGGGAUGACGUCAAAUCAUCAUGCCCCUUAUGACCUGGGCUACACACGUGCUACAAUGGACGGUACAAAGAGCUGCAAGACCGCGAGGUGGAGCUAAUCUCAUAAAACCGUUCUCAGUUCGGAUUGUAGGCUGCAACUCGCCUACAUGAAGCUGGAAUCGCUAGUAAUCGCGGAUCAGCAUGCCGCGGCGAAUACGUUCCC